RNAcentral lists this unclassified non-coding RNA (374 nucleotides) under uncultured Piptocephalidaceae. Its description in RNAcentral is "sequence contains ITS2". The record is from RNAcentral. Lineage: Eukaryota; Fungi; Zoopagomycota; Zoopagomycetes; Zoopagales; Piptocephalidaceae.
AACGCAUAUUGCACCCGACAGGCUCGCUUGUCGGGUCUGCCUGUCUGAGUAUCAGUACGGACCCAAUCAACAAUGAAAGGUUAUAUUUAUAUAGCCGGACAAUGUUGUGUUGGUGCUCACCAGAGGUAUUUUAAUGCCUUUGGUGGAUUUGAGUGUUCAGCCAUCAUUCUUUGGUUGAUCACUUGAAAUGUAUUGGUGUCGUCUAGCUGACAGUCGCCGCGUAAGCAUUGUUAAUCAUCUUUAUUGAUGUUCCUUGCUAUAUUACAUGGACCAACGACAAUAAGCAUCUAUUAGUACGAUCCAAGCACAAACUCCAAAUACUUGUAUUUAACCAUCUUGAUCUCAGAUCAGGCAGGAUGACCCGCUGAACUUAA